RNAcentral lists this ribosomal RNA (696 nucleotides) under uncultured bacterium. RNAcentral's name for it is "bacterial SSU rRNA". It matches the Rfam family "Bacterial small subunit ribosomal RNA", at positions 28 to 779 of the family's 1533-position model. The record is from RNAcentral.
AACGAACGCUGGCGGCAGGCUUAACACAUGCAAGUCGAGCGCCCGCAAGGGGAGCGGCAGACGGGUGAGUAACGCGUGGGAAUCUACCCUUUCCUACGGAAUAACGCAGGGAAACUUGUGCUAAUACCGUAUAAGCCCUUUGGGGAAAGAUUUAUCGGGAAAGGAUGAGCCCGCGUUGGAUUAGCUAGUUGGUGGGGUAAAGGCCUACCAAGGCGACGAUCCAUAGCUGGUCUGAGAGGAUGAUCAGCCACAUUGGGACUGAGACACGGCCCAAACUCCUACGGGAGGCAGCAGUGGGAAUAUUGACAUGGGCGCAAGCCUGAUCCAGCCAUGCCGCAUGAGUGAUGAAGGCCCUAGGGUUGUAAAGCUCUUUCACCGGUGAAGAUAAUGACGGUAACCGGAGAAGAAGCCCCGGCUAACUUCGUGCCAGCAGCCGCGGUAAUACGAAGGGGGCUAGCGUUGUUCGGAAUUACUGGGCGUAAAGCGCACGUAGGCGGACAUUUAAGUCAGGGGUGAAAUCCCGGGGCUCAACCCCGGAACUGCCUUUGAUACUGGGUGUCUAGAGUAUGGAAGAGGUGAGUGGAAUUCCGAGUGUAGAGGUGAAAUUCGUAGAUAUUCGGAGGAACACCAGUGGCGAAGGCGGCUCACUGGUCCAUUACUGACGCUGAGGUGCGAAGCGUGGGAGCAAACAGGAUU